AGUGAACGCUGGCGGCAGGCCUAAUACAUGCAAGUCGAACGGCAGCACGGCAGAGCUUGCUCUGUGGGUGGCGAGUGGCGGACGGGUGAGGAAUACAUGGGAAUCUGCCCAGUCGUGGGGGAUAACGUAGGGAAACUUACGCUAAUACCGCAUGCGCCCUUCGGGGAAAGCCGGGGACCUUCGGGCCUGGCGCGAUUGGAUGAGCCCAUGUCGGAUUAGCUAGUUGGCGGGGUAAUGGCCCACCAAGGCGACGAUCCGUAGCUGGUCUGAGAGGAUGAUCAGCCACACUGGAACUGAGACACGGUCCAGACUCCUACGGGAGGCAGCAGUAGGGAAUAUUGGACAAUGGGCGCAAGCCUGAUCCAGCCAUGCCGCGUGAGUGAAGAAGGCCCUCGGGUUGUAAAGCUCUUUUGUCCGGAAAGAAAAGCGCCGGGUUAAUACCCUGGUGUCCUGACGGUACCGGAAGAAUAAGCACCGGCUAACUUCGUGCCAGCAGCCGAC
RNAcentral lists this ribosomal RNA (501 nucleotides) under uncultured bacterium. RNAcentral describes it as "bacterial SSU rRNA". It matches the Rfam family "Bacterial small subunit ribosomal RNA", at positions 29 to 518 of the family's 1533-position model. The record is from RNAcentral.